RNAcentral lists this ribosomal RNA (825 nucleotides) under Ophiocordyceps sinensis. Its description in RNAcentral is "eukaryotic LSU rRNA". It matches the Rfam family "Eukaryotic large subunit ribosomal RNA", at positions 71 to 922 of the family's 3401-position model. Lineage: Eukaryota; Fungi; Ascomycota; Sordariomycetes; Hypocreales; Ophiocordycipitaceae. The record is from RNAcentral.
GGGAUUGCCCCAGUAACGGCGAGUGAAGCGGCAACAGCUCAAAUUUGAAAUCUGGCCCCCCCGCGGGCCCGAGUUGUAAUUUGCAGAGGAUGCUUUUGGCGCGGCGCCUUCCGAGUGCCCUGGAACGGGACGCCAUAGAGGGUGAGAGCCCCGUCUGGUCGGACGCCCAGCCUCUGUAAAGCUCCUUCGACGAGUCGAGUAGUUUGGGAAUGCUGCUCUAAACGGGAGGUAUAUGUCUUCUAAAGCUAAAUACCGGCCAGAGACCGAUAGCGCACAAGUAGAGUGAUCGAAAGAUGAAAAGCACUUUGAAAAGAGGGUUAAACAGUACGUGAAAUUGUUGAAAGGGAAGCGCUUGUGACCAGACUCGGGCGCGGCGAAUCACCCGGCGUUCUCGCCGGUGCACUUCGACGCGCCCGGGCCAGCAUCAGCUCGCCGCGGGGGACAAAGGCGCCGGGAACGUGGCUCCCCAGGGAGUGUUAUAGCCCGGCGCGCAACGCCCCGCGGCGGACUGAGGUUCGCGCGUCCGCAAGGAUGCUGGCGUAAUGGUCACCAGUGACCCGUCUUGAAACACGGACCAAGGAGUCGUCCUCGUAUGCGAGUGUUCGGGUGUCAAACCCCUACGCGCAAUGAAAGUGAACGCGGGUGAGAGCCUCGCGGCGCAUCAUCGACCGAUCCUGAUGUUCUCGGAUGGAUUUGAGUAGGAGCAUACGGGGCCGGACCCGAUAGAAGGUGAACUAUGCCUGUGUAGGGUGAAGCCAGAGGAAACUCUGGUGGAGGCUCGCAGCGGUUCUGACGUGCAAACGAUCGUCAGACAUGGGCAUGGGG